AACCAACAGGGAUUCCCCUAGUAACGGCGAGUGAAGCGGGAACAGCUCAAAUUUGAAAUCUGGCCCUUGGGUCCGAGUUGUAAUUUGCAGAGGAUGCUUUUGGUGCGGUGCCUUCCGAGUUCCCUGGAACGGGACGCCUUAGAGGGUGAGAGCCCCGUACGGUUGGCCACCAAGCCUGUGUAAAGCUCCUUCGACGAGUCGAGUAGUUUGGGAAUGCUGCUCAAAAUGGGAGGUAUAUUUCUUCUAAAGCUAAAUACUGCCAGAGACCGAUAGCGCACAAGUAGAGUGAUCGAAAGAUGAAAAGCACUUUGAAAAGAGGGUUAAAUAGCACGUGAAAUUGUUGAAAGGGAAGGAUUUAUGACCAGACUUUUUCUGGGGGGAUCAUCCGGUGUUCUCACCGGUGCACUUCCCCCAGUUGAGGCCAGCAUCGGUUUCUGCCGGGGGAUAAAAGCUUUGGGAAUGUGGCUCCUUCGGGAGUGUUAUAGCCCGUUGCAUAAUACCCUGGCGGGGACCGAGGUUCGCGCAUUGCAAGGAUGCUGGCGUAAUGGUUAUUAAUCCGCCC
RNAcentral lists this ribosomal RNA (562 nucleotides) under Apiospora sacchari. RNAcentral describes it as "LSU rRNA". It matches the Rfam family "Eukaryotic large subunit ribosomal RNA", at positions 63 to 651 of the family's 3401-position model. The record is from RNAcentral. Lineage: Eukaryota; Fungi; Ascomycota; Sordariomycetes; Amphisphaeriales; Apiosporaceae.